CAAUAGCGUAUAUUAAAGUUGUUGCGGUUAAAAAGUUCGUAGUUGGGUUUUUGUGAAUUAGAUCCCUGCGAUCCAAGUGGUCGAUGUGCGGUUGCUUUUUCACAUGUGUCUAGGUAGUCGGCAGCAAUGUCGUGUUAUCUAGAUGUGUUACUUUGAGGAAAUUAGAGUGUUCCAAGCAGGCAUAAGCUAUGAAUAUUUUAGCAUGGAAUAACAAAAUAUGGCAUCGGUUUUAUUUUGUUGGUUUCUAGAACUGAAGCAAUGAUUAAUAGGAGCGGUCAGGGGCAUUCGUAUUUAACUGUCAGAGGUGAAAUUCUUGGAUUAGUUAAGGACGAACUACUGCGAAAGCAUUUGCCAGGGACGUGUCCAUUGA
RNAcentral lists this ribosomal RNA (370 nucleotides) under uncultured eukaryote. Its description in RNAcentral is "partial 18S ribosomal RNA". It matches the Rfam family "Eukaryotic small subunit ribosomal RNA", at positions 592 to 976 of the family's 1831-position model. The record is from RNAcentral.